RNAcentral lists this long non-coding RNA (405 nucleotides) under Rattus norvegicus (Norway rat). Its description in RNAcentral is "long non-coding RNA NONRATT025306". The record is from RNAcentral. Lineage: Eukaryota; Metazoa; Chordata; Mammalia; Rodentia; Muridae.
AUAACAUUAAUCUUUUUAACAAAAAUAUGGUCACUUUAUCUAAACCCAUCCUAUCCCCAAGUUUAACCAGGAUAAGCUAUUUUCAUUGCCAAACUAUCUAUUCUCCACACCUUUCUGUUCUGAUUUUCUGAUAUUCCUCCCUGUAAAUCUGAAUAAAUUCAGCAAGUAAUAACAAUGCCACAAUUUAAAUAAUGUUUUCUUGAAAGGAAUCAUCCAGGGAAUACCUUUCCCUCUAACUUCUUUUACUUCACCCUGAACAGGCAGGUGAACCUAUACAUCCCGAAAUUCUCCAUAUCUGAUACCUAUGACCUUAAAGACAUGCUGGAAGACCUGAACAUUAAGGACUUGCUCACCAACCAAUCAGAUUUCUCAGGCAACACCAAAGAUGUUCCCUUGACAUUAACG